GUAGGGAAUAUUGCUUAAUGGGCGCAAGCCUGAAGCAGCAACGCCGCGUGUGCGAUGACGGCCUUCGGGUUGUAAAGCACUUUUCACCGGGAAGAGGAAGGACGGUACCGGUGGAAUAAGCCUCGGCUAACUACGUGCCAGCAGCCGCGGUAAAACGUAGGAGGCGAGCGUUAUCCGGAUUUACUGGGCGUAAAGCGCGUGUAGGCGGUCGUGCAAGUCGGGUGUGAAAGCCCAGGGCUCAACCCUGGAAGUGCAUUCGAUACUGCAUGGCUAGAGUCCCGGAGAGGAUGGUGGAACUCUCGGUGUAGAGGUGAAAUUCGUAGAUAUCGAGAAGAACACCGGUGGCGAAGGCGGCCAUCUGGACGGUGACUGACGCUGAGACGCGAAAGCGUGGGGAGCAAACA
This 404-nucleotide ribosomal RNA is filed under the name uncultured bacterium. Its description in RNAcentral is "bacterial SSU rRNA". It matches the Rfam family "Bacterial small subunit ribosomal RNA", at positions 354 to 774 of the family's 1533-position model. The record is from RNAcentral.